RNAcentral lists this ribosomal RNA (494 nucleotides) under uncultured bacterium. RNAcentral's name for it is "partial 16S ribosomal RNA". It matches the Rfam family "Bacterial small subunit ribosomal RNA", at positions 28 to 507 of the family's 1533-position model. The record is from RNAcentral.
GACGAACGCUGGCGGCGUGCUUAACACAUGCAAGUCGAACGGUGAAGCGCCUUCCUUUUUGGUGGGUGUGGAUGAGUGGCGAACGGGUGAGUAACACGUGAGUAACCUGCCCCCUUCUUCUGGAUAACCGCAUGAAGGUGUGGCUAAUACGGGAUAUUCUGGGUCUGUCGCAUGAUGGGUCUGGGAAAGAUAUUGUUUCGGUGGGGGAUGGGCUCGCGGCCUAUCAGCUUGUUGGUGGGGUGAUGGCCUACCAAGGCGGUGACGGGUAGCCGGCCUGGGAGGGUGGACGGUCACACUGGGACUGAGACACGGCCCAGACUCCUACGGGAGGCAGCAGUGGGGAAUAUUGCACAAUGGGCGCAAGCCUGAUGCAGCGACGCCGCGUGAGGGAUGGAGGCCUUCGGGUUGUGAACCUCUUUCGCCAGUGAAGCAGGCCUGCCUCGUUUGUGGGUGGGUUGACGGUAGCUGGAUAAGAAGCGCCGGCUAACUACGUG